CUGGUGUUGACUACAGGGCUGAGACUGGGCUGGCUGGGCCCAAACCCAGGUGUCACUUCUUAAUACAUGGCCACAGGGGAGGAGACAGGGGGGUGUGCCAGGACGUGGGUCUGCUCUGGCCACUUCUGCCACUUGUGUACAAGAGGAAGUAGGAAGAAGGAAGGUGGCUGGGCUGCCUCCAUUUCAGCAGUGACCUCUGGCCAUUCGACGAGGGAGCGAGGAGCCCACCCAUGCGCGCACUCUCAGCGAGCCCCCAACUCUCCCAGUCUACAGCAGAGGAGUGGUUUGAUGGGAGGAGGUGGGGGUGCUCCGAGUACCUUCACUUCGGGGCAAAAUGAAGUAGGACACGUCGUUCCUUCUCUGGGCGGGCAUCGAGCAUCACCGGCACUGACUUUUCUGGAGCCACAUGUGGCUAAAGCUUAGUCAACAAUUAGCUUUUGGUUCCAGGGAACACAGAUAUGCUGGAACCCCAAACUCUUGCCAACUCUAUCCUGAAAAACACCCCAGGUUCGACUGUCUCGUGAGUCCAGAUGUCACUGCCGCCUCACUCCACCUUUUCUGUGCUCUCAUCGUCUCCAGAGCAGUCCUUUCAACAGUCAGUUGCCUUGUUCCCCACCUCCCUGCGACCUUCCGUGGUUUACCUUUUCAUGCAGGGUGAAAUCCCAACUGUGAAUUGGAACCCUCACCAGUCACCUCCUUCCUCUGUGUCUCCCAGGUUGCUCUGUGCUGGUGGCGCUCCUCCCGCCCCUCCUGGUGCGCCCUUCCCCAAGUUGGCUGCCUUGCUUCCUCAGUGGGCAUCUUAUCUGAGUCCUUCCUCGCCCCCAUUACCCUGUAUUUAAACAGGCCUUAGAACCGUGUGGGCACAUAGUAGACACUUAGAAGCCUUAAAUAUGUGUUGAAUGGAAGAGUAGCUGCUGCCCCUCCAGCCACAGGCCUCUCUCCAUGUCACCGACACCAGUGAUGUUGCCCCUUUGCCCAGAGUUGUCCAACAGAAACUAAAUGCAGCCAGGGUGUCACUUAAAAUUUCCUAUUAGUCACAAUUAAAACAAAAUGAGGGCAGCCCAAUGGCGUAGCAGUUAAGUUCGAGCGCUCUGCUUUGGCGGCUUGGGGUUCACAGGUUUGGAUCCCGGUCACGGACCUACACACUGCCCAUCAAGCCAUGCUGUGGCAGCAUCCCACAUACAGAAUAGAGGAAGAUUGGCAACAGCUGUUAGCUCAGGGCCAAUCUUCCUCACCAAAAAAGACAUAAAAAUACCCCAAAAUGGGUAAAAUUAAUUUCAACACUAUAUUUAACGCAAUUGUCCAAAAUACCAUCAUUUCCACAUGUAAUAAACACAAAAAAUUUACUUGUGAGAUAUUUUACAUUCUUUUCUUCUUUGUACUAAGUUUUUGAAAACAGGUGUGUAGUUUAUAUGCACAGCACAUGUCAGUUUGGACUCACAUUUCCAGUGCUUACUAGUCAUCUGUGGCUAGAGGCCACUUAGUGGACCAGACCUAGAAUGCUCUCCCCACUUCUUACUCAGGUAGUUCUUCCUCGACCUUCUGACAGCAGCUCCAGGGUCAGGCCUUGGGGAAGGCUUCUGUGGGCCUCACCCAGACGAGACCUGAUUGCCACUCAGUGUUCUCCGAUAACUCCCCACCUGGUCUUUCAAAGCACUGAGCAUGGCUUGUAAUUAGGGACCUCUUCAGCUAUUUGACGAACACAUGUUGUCCCCGCCUGAGGAGAGGCCACACGUGGGAGAGACUGGACCUGCCAUGCUCCUGUUGAAUCCCCAGUGCCUGAUCUAGGGCCUGCCCACAGCAGACACUCCAUAAAUAUUUUGACUUAAUGCAUUAAAUGGCUUGAUUCUUCCUUUGCUCUGCUUUUCUUUUCUCUCUAGUUUUGACUUACAGGUUCUGCUUUGGUGGAACUUUGCUUUUCCUUACUAUGUUUUCAGAUUGUUUCCGAGGGAAAUUGCCUUAUUUAUAUUUCCUACUUUAAAUUCCCUAGAGAGAGUAUUGGAUUGGCUAAGGUCAGUGUUUUUCAAAUUUUCUCAUGGAUGAGUAUUGUCAGGAACCCAAAAUAAAAAACGCUAAUUCCGGGGCUGGCCCCGUGGCUGAGUGGUUAAUUUCGCAUGCUCCGCUGCAGGCGGCCCAGUGUUUCGCUGGUUCGAAUCCCGGGCGCGGACAUGGCACUGCUCAUCAAACCACGCUGAGGCGGCGUCCCACAUGCCACAACUAGAAGGACCCACAACGAAGAAUAUACAACUAUGUACUGGGGGGCUUUGAGGAGAAAAAAAAUAAAACAAACAAACAAAAAACCGCUAAUUCCUAGUUCCCUCUCCUCUAGAUUGACACAAUAGAUGAAUGUGGGGUCUGGAGUCUGAAUUUUAUCAAUUUUACCAGGUAGUUCUUACAAUGAGGCAACUCUGGGAACCCUUGGGUCUUCUUGGAUGCUCGUCAGCCCCUGGGUUGGCUGUUAUCGUCAGGUGUCCCCAUCCAGGGAAGUUACUGGGUAAGAGUGGGGAGAGCACAAUCUAGCUGCCCAGAGGAGUCUGAAGUUCUCCACGGUUUCCCACAGGACGAGCACUGUUCUCAGGGUUGUGCACACCCCUGGUGGAACCUUCCGGGCGGCCCUUUGAGAGCAGGGCUGUCCAUGGUUCCCGCUCCGCCAAUGAGACUGAGGGUCUGAGAGGUGAUGAGGCUGCCCGGGCUCCGGCUGGUGGGUGGCCUGGCGGCGGAGCGUCCUCCACUCCUCGAGCACGGGGACGGGGUCGCAGGCUCUCCUCCAGCCCCAGUGAGUCCCCCCAGAUGAGGGGUCGCGGGCUCCCCUCCGCGGCUGAGUCCCCUGGACGAGCGGCGGGCGCACGGAAGGAAGCGGAACUCGAGCGAACCCAAAGCCCCCCAGCGUCCCGCGUCGGGAGCCACGGUGUAGGUCACCGCCGACCGCCGUCCUCCCGCCGGGGCGCGCGGCCUGCCCCCGCCCGGCCAGCUCGACGCCUCGCGCACGUUUCACGACGAGAGGCCUCGGGCCUCGGGCCUCGGGCCGCACGUAGCUCGCGCCGCGGCCGCACGGCUGACGUCCGGUCGGCCAGCGCCUUCCACGCCAGACCCAGGUUCUCGAGCGUGCCCUCGCCGCUUCCG
RNAcentral lists this long non-coding RNA (3123 nucleotides) under Equus asinus (donkey). Its description in RNAcentral is "lncRNA (ENSEASG00005036495.1)". The record is from RNAcentral. Lineage: Eukaryota; Metazoa; Chordata; Mammalia; Perissodactyla; Equidae.